Molecule: microRNA precursor, 111 nt
Filed under: Marmota monax (woodchuck)
Lineage: Eukaryota; Metazoa; Chordata; Mammalia; Rodentia; Sciuridae
Source: RNAcentral
AGUUGGAUAGCUGGUUCAAAUGGUAGUUCCAUUUUAAGUUUGUUUUUUUUUUAAGGAAUCUCCAGACUGCUUUCCAGAGUGGUUGCACCAAUUUGCAGUCUUACCAGCAAU